Long non-coding RNA from Etheostoma cragini (Arkansas darter), 95 nucleotides. RefSeq lists it as uncharacterized. The record is from RefSeq and is a predicted model, not a curated record. The transcript is spliced from 3 exons. NCBI's taxonomy places the organism in Eukaryota, Metazoa, Chordata, Actinopteri, Perciformes, Percidae.
UUUUGAGAUAAAUUCGUGUUGUCAACAGAUAGCUCCUUUGCAAGCUAAUAUAUCAACAGAAUAAAGGUUAAUAAAACAUGAUAAUGUAAACAAAG